RNAcentral lists this ribosomal RNA (274 nucleotides) under uncultured bacterium. RNAcentral's name for it is "partial 16S ribosomal RNA". It matches the Rfam family "Bacterial small subunit ribosomal RNA", at positions 523 to 796 of the family's 1533-position model. The record is from RNAcentral.
AUACGGAGGGUGCAAGCGUUAAUCGGAAUUACUGGGCGUAAAGCGCGCGUAGGCGGUUAAAUAAGUUGGAUGUGAAAUCCCCGGGCUCAACCUGGGAACUGCAUUCAAAACUGUUUAACUAGAGUAUGGUAGAGGGAAGUGGAAUUCCAGGUGUAGCGGUGAAAUGCGUAGAUAUCUGGAGGAACAUCAGUGGCGAAGGCGACUUCCUGGAUCAAUACUGACGCUGAGGUGCGAAAGCGUGGGGAGCAAACAGGAUUAGAUACCCCAGUAGUCC